AGGGGAAUGGCGUUUGACAGCGGCUUUGGCAGACGGCUUUUGGUUCUUAAUUGAUGCUGGCAGGCUAAAUUGUAAAAGGGAACACACUUCCAGGGAGGGGGGCAGACGCAUUGAUAAAAAAGAGUUCAAGGAAAAUGGAGUUAGAGGAGAUAGACGCAUUCAGAAAGAUCAUCAUCAUUCACUCACACACUACUCUCAAUUCCUCGAGUCACUCUCUCUACUCACUCAACAGAGACACCUCCUCAGAAACUCGUUUCCUCCAUCAGGGCACAUCACAGGAACCCACCAUUCCCC
Molecule: long non-coding RNA, 294 nt
Filed under: Vigna radiata
Lineage: Eukaryota; Viridiplantae; Streptophyta; Magnoliopsida; Fabales; Fabaceae
Description: long non-coding RNA (VRAD_LNC005527)
Source: RNAcentral